GACGAACGCAGGCGGCGUGCCUAACACAUGCAAGUCGAACGGGGUGAUUCCUUCGGGGAUCGCUUAGUGGCGAACGGGUGAGUAACGCGUGAGGAACCUGCCUUCCAGUGGGGGACAACAGUUGGAAACGACUGCUAAUACCGCAUAACGCAGCUAGAUCGCAUGAUCUUACUGCCAAAGCUUUAUGUGCUGGAAGAUGGCCUCGCGUCUGAUUAGCUAGUUGGUGAGGUAACGGCUCACCAAGGCGACGAUCAGUAGCCGGUCUGAGAGGAUGAACGGCCACAUUGGGACUGAGAUACGGCCCAG
This 306-nucleotide ribosomal RNA is filed under the name uncultured bacterium. RNAcentral's name for it is "bacterial SSU rRNA". It matches the Rfam family "Bacterial small subunit ribosomal RNA", at positions 28 to 334 of the family's 1533-position model. The record is from RNAcentral.